GGUCGCUUGAAAUGCAGGUGCAGCUGGACAUUCUUCUGAGCUAAAAGCAUAUCUAUUUAGUCCCGUCAAACGGAUUAUUACUUUUGCUUCAGCUAAUAUAAAGGUCGAAUGAACUACCAACGCUGAUUGCAGGAAAACUCGUUCUUAAUCGAACUUGUAAACUCGAUCUCAAAUCAAGUAAGACUACCCGCUGAACUUAA
This 200-nucleotide unclassified non-coding RNA is filed under the name soil metagenome. Its description in RNAcentral is "partial contains internal transcribed spacer 2 and large subunit ribosomal RNA". The record is from RNAcentral.